RNAcentral lists this ribosomal RNA (428 nucleotides) under uncultured Sphingobacteriales bacterium. RNAcentral describes it as "bacterial SSU rRNA". It matches the Rfam family "Bacterial small subunit ribosomal RNA", at positions 952 to 1382 of the family's 1533-position model. Lineage: Bacteria; Pseudomonadati; Bacteroidota; Sphingobacteriia; Sphingobacteriales. The record is from RNAcentral.
CGAUGAUACGCGAGGAACCUUACCUGGGCUCGAACGUAAGAUGACUGUAGGUGAAAGCUUACAUCUCUUCGGAGCAUUUUACGAGGUGCUGCAUGGUUGUCGUCAGCUCGUGCCGUGAGGUGUCGGGUUAAGUCCCAUAACGAGCGCAACCCUACCUUUAGUUGCCAUCAGGUAAUGCUGGGGACUCUAAAGGAACUGCCUACGCAAGUAGUGAGGAAGCGGGGAUGACGUCAAAUCAGCACGGCCCUUACGUCCAGGGCUACACACGUGCUACAAUGGCCGAUACAGAGGGCAGCUACCUGGUGACAGGAUGCAAAUCUCCAAAGUCGGUCUCAGUUCGGAUCGGAGUCUGCAACCCGACUCCGUGAAGUUGGAUUCGCUAGUAAUCGCGCAUCAGCCAUGGCGCGGUGAAUACGUUCCCGGGCCUU